Long non-coding RNA from Notolabrus celidotus (New Zealand spotty), 1035 nucleotides. RefSeq lists it as uncharacterized. Lineage: Eukaryota; Metazoa; Chordata; Actinopteri; Labriformes; Labridae. The record is from RefSeq and is a predicted model, not a curated record. The transcript has 5 exons.
GUGUGUUUGGUCGUACCUGCAGCUUCUCUCUUGAGAUUAUUUGGUUGCCCUGGGAUUUUUUGGAUUUCUGGAUUAUCUGUUGGAGCUUUUACAUCCUCUCUAUGUAUUCGAUUUGCGAGCAGCCCCCAUCUGGCAACGAGUCGUGCGGUGUCACUAAAUGAACAGACGUCAAGUUGCUGACUUCCAGAGCUGCCAACCUGACACACUCUGGAGUUUGGAGCACAUGGAUGAUGAUGCAGGCUCUGGGCUCUGCAACAAAGUGAUCUGGAUUCAAAAAUGAAGCUACUCUCUCCACAAGCUCAAAAAUGUACUGUACACCAUCUGUCUGAGAACAUCCUGGCACAAACUAACGACUAUGGUUAAACAUAAGAUAAAAACGCCGCAGUUGAAAUGUAUCAACACUUAGAGGCCACGGGGACGUUUUCCACUCCGCGUGUCUUUGUCUUUCCCAUCCUUGUGCAGCACGUCCGCUCAUGCACAGAAACCCGGCCUGUGCUUUGAAUGUAAAUACCUGCAGACCCUAUCUCAAGGCUUGCCCCAUGGACAGACCUCUAGCAGAACAAGGGAACCGGACUGCAUUAUUCACCGCCGCAGGUGAAACUGUACCCCCAUGAGAGACGCAAAACCCAACAGAGAACACUCACCCUUGACCUGGCCUUCUGUUCAUGCUGUUUCCACAUCUUUCAGCCUCUAUAAACCCCUGCAUCACUGUCGAGGUGCAUACUGAACAAGCAGUCACAUCCCCGUGGAUUCCUCUGGGCUGCUCAGAUUAGCAAUGAGAACAGUUUGCUUAGAAACAUGUUGAUGGAUCUGCGCGGAAUGAAGACCUGAUAAAGCCGAUCCUGAAAUGUGUCGAGUGCCCUUGACGUGCAGGAGCUUUUUCCUCGUGAAGGACUAAACCCGAGAUAAAACGCGUAGAUAGUCUGCCAGCAAAACAACUUCUCCUGUUACACUCCUGCCAGAGACUUAAAGGCAUUUAUUUUCUUUGCAGCAACACAAGAAAAAAUAAAGGAAACAGUUGGUGGUGAAUAUUAA